CAGGCAGCUAAAGCAAGUCUG
This 21-nucleotide microRNA is filed under the name Lepisosteus oculatus (spotted gar). RNAcentral describes it as "Loc-Mir-1788_3p (mature (guide))". Lineage: Eukaryota; Metazoa; Chordata; Actinopteri; Semionotiformes; Lepisosteidae. The record is from RNAcentral. RNAcentral also lists the same sequence under 17 other names.